UACGUAGGUGGCAAGCGUUAUCCGGAUUUAUUGGGCGUAAAGGGAACGCAGGCGGUCUUUUAAGUCUGAUGUGAAAGCCUUCGGCUUAACCGGAGUAGUGCAUUGGAAACUGGGGGACUUGAGUGCAGAAGAGGAGAGUGGGACUCCAUGUGUAGCGGUGAAAUGCGUAGAUAUAUGGAAGAACACCAGUGGCGAAAGCGGCUCUCUGGUCUGUAACUGACGCUGAGGUUCGAAAGCGUGGGUAGCAAACAGG
This 253-nucleotide ribosomal RNA is filed under the name uncultured bacterium. RNAcentral describes it as "partial 16S ribosomal RNA". It matches the Rfam family "Bacterial small subunit ribosomal RNA", at positions 524 to 776 of the family's 1533-position model. The record is from RNAcentral.